RNAcentral lists this transfer RNA (68 nucleotides) under Trigonotylus caelestialium. Its description in RNAcentral is "tRNA-Val". The record is from RNAcentral. Lineage: Eukaryota; Metazoa; Arthropoda; Insecta; Hemiptera; Miridae.
CAAAUCAAAGCUUAAAUUAGCAUUAUUAUUUACAUUAAUAAGAUGAUUAUUAAAUUAGUCUGGUUUGA